This 81-nucleotide microRNA precursor is filed under the name Anisakis simplex (herring worm). RNAcentral's name for it is "mir-83 microRNA precursor family". It matches the Rfam family "mir-83 microRNA precursor family". Lineage: Eukaryota; Metazoa; Nematoda; Chromadorea; Rhabditida; Anisakidae. The record is from Rfam by way of RNAcentral.
GAUCUCUGAAUCCUGAAUUUGUUUGUGUGCUGGACGGAAAUCAUCUAUCUCUAGCACCAUUUAAAUUCAGCAUUUUUGAGA